GAGGGCUGUUCCCACUUGUGCCUGCUAAACUGGUAUCAGUAUGUUGAUUUAGUGCUGGCUCAGUUCAGCAGGAACAGGUGUGAAGUCCUC
Danio rerio (zebrafish) is the source of this 90-nucleotide non-coding RNA. RefSeq annotates it as microRNA 24-4. NCBI's taxonomy places the organism in Eukaryota, Metazoa, Chordata, Actinopteri, Cypriniformes, Danionidae. The record is from RefSeq and is marked provisional.